Molecule: ribosomal RNA, 253 nt
Filed under: uncultured bacterium
Lineage: Bacteria
Description: partial 16S ribosomal RNA
Rfam family: Bacterial small subunit ribosomal RNA
Source: RNAcentral
UACAGAGACUGCAAGCGUUAUUCGGAUUCACUGGGCGUAAAGGGUGCGCAGGCGGCCAAGUGUGUUAGGCGUGAAAGCCUGGGGCUUAACCCCAGAAUUGCACCUAAAACUACAUGGCUAGAGCAUUGGAGAGGGUAGCGGAAUUCACGGUGUAGCAGUGAAAUGCGUAGAUAUCGUGAGGAACACCAGAGGCGAAGGCGGCUACCUGGACAAUUGCUGACGCUCAGGCACGAAAGCGUGGGGAUCAAACAGG